Molecule: ribosomal RNA, 575 nt
Filed under: uncultured rumen bacterium
Lineage: Bacteria
Description: bacterial SSU rRNA
Rfam family: Bacterial small subunit ribosomal RNA
Source: RNAcentral
GGCAGCAGCUAAGAAUAUUCCGCAAUGGACGAAAGUCUGACGGAGCGACGCCGCGUGGAUGAUGAAGGCCGGAAGGUUGUAAAAUCCUUUUAUGACUGAGGAAUAAGUUUUCUGAGAGAAACGGAAGAUGGUGACUGUAGGUCAUGAAUAAGCAACGGCUAAUUACGUGCCAGCAGCCGCGGUAACACGUAAGUUGCGAGCGUUGUUCGGAAUUAUUGGGCGUAAAGGGUAUGUAGGCGGUUCUGCAAGUCUGGUGUGAAAUGCCGGGGCUCAACCCCGGAACUGCGUUGGAAACUGCAGGACUUGAAUCGCUGAGGGGCAGCCAGAAUUCCAGGUGUAGGGGUGAAAUCUGUAGAUAUCUGGAAGAAUACCAAUGGCGAAGGCAGGCUGCCAGCAGAUGAUUGACGCUGAGGUACGAAGGUGCGGGGAGCAAACAGGAUUAGAUACCCUGGUAGUCCGCACAGUCAACUAUGUACACUGGGUGUCCGCUCAUGAGAGUGGGUGCCGAAGCAAACGCGAUAAGUGUACCGCCUGGGGAGUAUGCCCGCAAGGGUGAAACUCAAAGGAAUUGACGG